This 253-nucleotide ribosomal RNA is filed under the name uncultured bacterium. RNAcentral describes it as "partial 16S ribosomal RNA". It matches the Rfam family "Bacterial small subunit ribosomal RNA", at positions 524 to 776 of the family's 1533-position model. The record is from RNAcentral.
UACGUAGGUGGCAAGCGUUGUCCGGAAUUACUGGGUGUAAAGGGAGCGCAGGCGGGAAGCCAAGUCAGCUGUGAAGACUACGGGCUUAACUUGUAGACUGUAGUUGAAACUGGUUUUCUUGAGUGAAGUAGAGGUUGGCGGAAUUCCGAGUGUAGCGGUGAAAUGCGUAGAUAUUCGGAGGAACACCGGUGGCGAAGGCGGCCAACUGGGCUUUAACUGACGCUGAGGCUCGAAAGUGUGGGGAGCAAACAGG